Molecule: ribosomal RNA, 149 nt
Filed under: uncultured bacterium
Lineage: Bacteria
Description: partial 16S ribosomal RNA
Rfam family: Bacterial small subunit ribosomal RNA
Source: RNAcentral
CCUACGGGAGGCAGCAGUGAGGAAUAUUGGACAAUGGGCGAAAGCCUGAUCCAGCCAUGCCGCGUGCAGGAAGACUGCCCUAUGGGUUGUAAACUGCUAUUAUACGGGAAGAAACCCAUAUACGUGUAGAUGGCUGACGUACCGUAAGA